Molecule: ribosomal RNA, 1374 nt
Filed under: uncultured bacterium
Lineage: Bacteria
Description: 16S ribosomal RNA
Rfam family: Bacterial small subunit ribosomal RNA
Source: RNAcentral
GGGGGCUUCGGCCUGCCGGCGAGUGGCGAACGGGUGAGUAAUGCAUCGGAACGUGCCCAUGUCGUGGGGGAUAACGUAGCGAAAGCUACGCUAAUACCGCAUACGUCCUGAGGGAGAAAGCGGGGGAUCUUCGGACCUCGCGCGAUUGGAGCGGCCGAUGUCGGAUUAGCUAGUAGGUGGGGUAAAGGCCCACCUAGGCGACGAUCCGUAGCGGGUCUGAGAGGAUGAUCCGCCACACUGGGACUGAGACACGGCCCAGACUCCUACGGGAGGCAGCAGUGGGGAAUUUUGGACAAUGGGCGCAAGCCUGAUCCAGCCAUGCCGCGUGAGUGAAGAAGGCCUUCGGGUUGUAAAGCUCUUUCGGCCGGGAAGAAAUCGUGUUCUCUAACAUAGGACAUGGAUGACGGUACCGGACUAAGAAGCACCGGCUAACUACGUGCCAGCAGCCGCGGUAAUACGUAGGGUGCGAGCGUUCAUCGGAAUUACUGGGCGUAAAGCGUGCGCAGGCGGUUUGCUAAGACGUGUGUGAAAUCCCCGGGCUUAACCUGGGAACUGCGCUUGUGACUGGCAGGCUAGAGUACGGCAGAGGGGGGUGGAAUUCCUGGUGUAGCAGUGGAAUGCGUAGAGAUCAGGAGGAACACCGAUGGCGAAGGCAGCCCCCUGGGCCUGUACUGACGCUCAUGCACGAAAGCGUGGGGAGCAAACAGGAUUAGAUACCCUGGUAGUCCACGCCCUAAACGAUGUCAACUGGUUGUUGGGGGAGUGAAAUCCCUUAGUAACGAAGCUAACGCGUGAAGUUGACCGCCUGGGGAGUACGGUCGCAAGAUUAAAACUCAAAGGAAUUGACGGGGACCCGCACAAGCGGUGGAUGAUGUGGAUUAAUUCGAUGCAACGCGAAAAACCUUACCUACCCUUGACAUGUCCGGAAUCCUGCUGAGAGGUGGGAGUGCCCGAAAGGGAAUCGGAACACAGGUGCUGCAUGGCUGUCGUCAGCUCGUGUCGUGAGAUGUUGGGUUAAGUCCCGCAACGAGCGCAACCCUUAUCAUUAGUUGCUACGCAAGGGCACUCUAAUGAGACUGCCGGUGACAAACCGGAGGAAGGUGGGGAUGACGUCAAGUCCUCAUGGCCCUUAUGGGUAGGGCUUCACACGUCAUACAAUGGUCGGUACAGAGGGUUGCCAAGCCGCGAGGUGGAGCCAAUCCCAGAAAGCCGAUCGUAGUCCGGAUCGUUCUCUGCAACUCGAGAGCAUGAAAUCGGAAUCGCUAGUAAUCGCGGAUCAGCAUGUCGCGGUGAAUACGUUCCCGGGUCUUGUACACACCGCCCGUCACACCAUGGGAGUGGAAUCUGGCAGAAGUAGUAGCCUAACCGCGAGGG